RNAcentral lists this ribosomal RNA (468 nucleotides) under uncultured bacterium. RNAcentral describes it as "partial 16S ribosomal RNA". It matches the Rfam family "Bacterial small subunit ribosomal RNA", at positions 28 to 507 of the family's 1533-position model. The record is from RNAcentral.
GACGAACGCUGGCGGCGUGCUUAACACAUGCAAGUCGAACGGAAAGGCCCUGCUUUUGGGGGGUGCUCGAAUGGCGAAAGGGUGAGUAACACGUGAGUAACCUGCCCUUGACUUUGGGAUAACUUCAGGAAACUGGGGCUAAUAACGGAUAGGAGCUCCUGCGGGAGGGUGGGGGUUGGAAAGUUUCGGCGGUUGGGGAUGGACUCGCGGCUUAUCAGCUUGUUGGUGGGGUAGUGGCUUACCAAGGCUGUGACGGGUAGCCGGCCUGAGAGGGUGACCGGCCACAUUGGGACUGAGAUACGGCCCAGACUCCUACGGGAGGCAGCAGUGGGGAAUAUUGCACAAUGGGCGGAAGCCUGAUGCAGCAACGCCGCGUGCGGGAUGACGGCCUUCGGGUUGUAAACCGCUUUCGCCUGUGACGAAGCGUGAGUGACGGUAAUGGGUAAAGAAGCACCGGCUAACUACGUG